Molecule: transfer RNA, 74 nt
Filed under: Candidatus Sphingobacterium stercoripullorum
Lineage: Bacteria; Pseudomonadati; Bacteroidota; Sphingobacteriia; Sphingobacteriales; Sphingobacteriaceae
Also listed under: 1 other name
Description: tRNA-Arg
Rfam family: tRNA
About the family: Transfer RNA (tRNA) molecules are approximately 80 nucleotides in length. Their secondary structure includes four short double-helical elements and three loops (D, anti-codon, and T loops). Further hydrogen bonds mediate the characteristic L-shaped molecular structure. tRNAs have two regions of fundamental functional importance: the anti-codon, which is responsible for specific mRNA codon recognition, and the 3' end, to which the tRNAs corresponding amino acid is attached (by aminoacyl-tRNA synthetases). tRNAs cope with the degeneracy of the genetic code in two manners: having more than one tRNA (with a specific anti-codon) for a particular amino acid; and 'wobble' base-pairing, i.e. permitting non-standard base-pairing at the 3rd anti-codon position.
Source: RNAcentral
GCGCCAAUAGCUCAGCUGGAUAGAGCAUCUGCCUUCUAAGCAGAGGGUCUCAGGUUCGAAUCCUGAUUGGCGUA